RNAcentral lists this ribosomal RNA (497 nucleotides) under uncultured bacterium. Its description in RNAcentral is "partial 16S ribosomal RNA". It matches the Rfam family "Bacterial small subunit ribosomal RNA", at positions 28 to 507 of the family's 1533-position model. The record is from RNAcentral.
GAUGAACGCUGGCGGCGUGCCUAAUACAUGCAAGUCGAGCGAUCGCACGCCUUCCUUUCUUCUCUGAUGUUUGCCGCGGACGUGUGACUUCCACGUGUUUCCCCUCCCUAUUAUUCUCGGAUAACUUCGGUUACCCGUACCUCAUACCGUCUACUAUUUUGAACCGCAUGCUUCAAAAGUUAUCGCCGGUCUUGCUGUCUCUUAUAGAUUUAUCCACGCUUCAUUAGCUAGUUUGUCAGGUAACGGCUUACCAAGGCAACGAUGCGUAGCUGGACUGAGAGGAUGAUCAGCCACACUGGAACUGAGACACGGACCAGACUCCUACGGGAGGCAGCAGUAGGGAAUAUUGGACAAUGGGCGAAAGCCUGACGGAGCAACGCCGCGUGAAGGAUGAAGGUCUUCGGGUCGUAAAACGCUGUUAUAAGGAAAGAAAAGAUGUGUAAGAAAAGGGGAAGAUCAUGACGGUACCGAAAGAAAAAGCAACGGCUAACUACGUG